CACGUUGAAGGUAUCCAACUUCCUGAAAACAAAUUGAACAGCGAAUCAGUUAGAAUUUGAUAUGACAAGGACUGGUAAUGGGCCUGGACAACUUGGUUUAUGCAAGGAGAAAAAUAAGAAGGAAUGAAGCUAAGGCUUUAGAGAAUUCUGGAGGUGCUGACUUGGAUAACAGAAUGGUAACCAUUGCUUAUGAAGAGAAUUCUGGAAGGAUUGACGUGGAUAACAGAAUGGUGCUCUAUUCAUGUGCUGCUAAAAGCUAUAAGUAACCAACCAUGAGAGAGGGAAGGCAUGCUUUUCUUGAGUUAUUCAGUAUAGUGUUGGGCUUGAGUAAUUUCUUUUGGGAAUUCUCUGGUG
Molecule: unclassified non-coding RNA, 354 nt
Filed under: Hevea brasiliensis (rubber tree)
Lineage: Eukaryota; Viridiplantae; Streptophyta; Magnoliopsida; Malpighiales; Euphorbiaceae
Source: RNAcentral